CGUGUAGGCGGCUGGAUAAGUCAGAUGUGAAAGCCCUGGGCUUAACCUAGGAAGUGCAUUUGAAACUGUUCAGCUUGAGUAGGGGAGAGGAAAAUGGAAUUCCUGGUGUAGAGGUGAAAUUCGUAGAUAUCAGGAGGAACACCGGUGGCGAAGGCGACUUUCUGGCCCUAUACUGACGCUGAGACGCGAGAGCGUGGGUAGCAAACAG
Molecule: ribosomal RNA, 208 nt
Filed under: uncultured Smithella sp.
Lineage: Bacteria; Pseudomonadati; Thermodesulfobacteriota; Syntrophia; Syntrophales; Smithellaceae
Description: partial 16S ribosomal RNA
Rfam family: Bacterial small subunit ribosomal RNA
Source: RNAcentral